This 331-nucleotide ribosomal RNA is filed under the name uncultured bacterium. Its description in RNAcentral is "bacterial SSU rRNA". It matches the Rfam family "Bacterial small subunit ribosomal RNA", at positions 568 to 898 of the family's 1533-position model. The record is from RNAcentral.
CGCGUAGGUGGUAGUGUAAGUCUGGGGUGGAAUCCCAGGGCUUAACCCUGGAACUGCCUUGGAAACUGCAUUACUUGAGUCAGUGAGGGGGAGAGUAGAAUUCCUGGUGUAGCGGUGAAAUGCGUAGAUAUCAGGAGGAAGGCCUGUGGCGAAGGCGGCCCUCUGGCGCUGAACUGACACUGAGGCGCGAAAGCGUGGGGAGCAAACAGGAUUAGAUACCCUGGUAGUCCACGCCCUAAACGGUGGGCACUAGGUGUAGGGCUCGUAAGGGUUCUGUGCCGAAGGGAAACCAUUAAGUGCCCCGCCUGGGGAGUACGGCCGCAAGGUUGAA